RNAcentral lists this long non-coding RNA (1260 nucleotides) under Numida meleagris (helmeted guineafowl). Its description in RNAcentral is "lncRNA (ENSNMEG00000018985.1)". Lineage: Eukaryota; Metazoa; Chordata; Aves; Galliformes; Numididae. The record is from RNAcentral.
GGAAAAAGCAAAAAGGGCCAAUCCUACAAUGUAACUGUGAGCAGCACUCCUUGUGUCCCUGCUCUGUCAAUCACACAUUGCUUUUUCUUCCAGGUAACUUCAGUAUAAAGAGACUAUUUCUAUUUUGGAGAUUGUCUUUUAUUGUCUUUCGUUAAUUCCUAAUGAUACAUAGAUAUACACACAUAUACACAUUAAUAGAUAUGCAUAUGUAUAUAAUACUCAUAUAUACAUAGUCUUCAGAUUUUAAGGCUAUUGCAGAGGGCAGAGCUUGGCCCACAGCCCAGAGGAGGGCAUAUUGGCCUUUCCAGCUGAUAACCAGCAGCAGCGUCAAACCUGCACUGCCCACGCACUCCCUGCACAGAUAGCUGUGCCGUUUCCAGGCCUCAUUCACCUGCCGACCCUGCCCAAAGCAGAGCGUUUGGCAUCAUGUUGCUGGGUGUGGCGAUGUGUUGCUGAAAGUGCGCAGGUUGCCCAUGGGCAGAGGGACAGGACUGGGGCAGAAGGCCACAGCAGCACCAUCCUGACUUGCAUAGAACUGGACACAUCCUCAGCAGACAGUCUGCCCAGGUCCAGAAACACCACCAGGCCUGAAGCAGCCUUUACCACAUCACAGAUGAAUUUAGGGGAGGAGUGGCCUCUGAGGAGGGAGAAGGAAAAUAGGAAGUUACUUACUUUUUUGCCACCUUCUCAUGUCUAGUCUAGUUCCAGACAAUGACAAGUAUGAUAAGACAUAGCACAGAAUAAGCCUUUUCUUUACCCUUCCUAUGAUUUUGAUGUGCCAAAUCGCUCUCAGCUACAAUACCCAAGAAACCUACAGUUUACACAUAGCAUCGGCCCUCUCAGUUUCUACUCUGAGCCUGCCCAUACAUCUCAGCCUUGACUUGCAGAGUGAAAGGAAGUUCAGCCUCCACAAUUCCCUCCACCAUUUUCUUUGCUAAGCUCAUUAGUGCUUCAUAAGACUGGAGUGAGACCACUAAGUCAUUUCCCACGGACUGCUUAGCUGCGAUCAGAACAGCAACAAUGACUGAUUUGGGCUGGAGUCGAACCGAAGAGCCCAUUCCUUCACACAUUGUCCAAUCCAUCUGCUGAAAAUUAUUCCACAUUGCACACACACAGGCAGAAAUCCUGCUUUAAAACAUAUAUUAUGUUCCAUUUAUGUGAUUUGCCUAUGUGUUCCCAGGCUUUCCAAGAUUUUAAUUUUCCCCCUGGUUAUCUGAAUUCCAGAUUUUGUGGAAUAAAUCCCAGUGAAGUGUUGAUUCA